This 389-nucleotide long non-coding RNA is filed under the name Musa acuminata (dwarf banana). RNAcentral's name for it is "long non-coding RNA (MACU_LNC005176)". Lineage: Eukaryota; Viridiplantae; Streptophyta; Magnoliopsida; Zingiberales; Musaceae. The record is from RNAcentral.
AGCCGGCGAGUCGUAAGUCGGAGAUCGAACUGGAGCGACUCGAGCUAUGGUCUGAGCCGGCGAGUCGCAAGUCGGAGAUCGAACUGGGGCGACUCGGGCUAUGCGCCAAGGAGCACGACGUAGGCGGGCAGGCCGCGCGGGUGUGUCUUGGGUCAUGGGCAACGUGCGACCGAUGAGCACAUCUCAAUCGGGAAGCCGAGCAGAGGUCGUGGUCUCGGACGACGUGCGGCCGAGGAGCACGACGCAAGCGGGCAGGCCGCGUAGGCGCGUCUCGGGUUAUGGGCCGAGCCGGCAAGUCGCAAGUCGGAGGUCGAGCUGGAGCGACUCGGGCUAUGAGCCAAGCCGGCGAGUCGCAAGUCGGAGGUCGAACUGGAGCGACUCGGGCUAUG